This 315-nucleotide ribosomal RNA is filed under the name Triticum aestivum (bread wheat). RNAcentral describes it as "partial small subunit ribosomal RNA". Lineage: Eukaryota; Viridiplantae; Streptophyta; Magnoliopsida; Poales; Poaceae. The record is from RNAcentral.
AUGCUCGCCUCGGCAGUCAUCAAAGUCAUCAAGGUGGCAAUAGGACACUUGAAUUCUACCAUUUCAGGCGAGAUCAAGCUGCACAGGAAUAUGAGGAACGAUCUGGAGAACAUGAAGAUGACGCUGGAGUCGGUGGACGGUUUGCUCCGUGACGCUGAGAGGGAGUCUAUCAAGCAUAACUCCAUGCUUCUGUGGCUGAAGCAACUUAAGGAUGCCGCGAACGACAUCUCUCACAUGCUUGAAGAUUUUGAAGAUGAAACCGACCUCAACCUGGCAUGCAAGAUUCUGAUUUGGUCACUAUCGAUCUUGAUCUGA